RNAcentral lists this long non-coding RNA (2703 nucleotides) under Parus major (Great Tit). Its description in RNAcentral is "lncRNA (ENSPMJG00000001505.1)". Lineage: Eukaryota; Metazoa; Chordata; Aves; Passeriformes; Paridae. The record is from RNAcentral.
CUGAAGUAGUGUUGGGGACAAGGAAGAGAAGGUGUUGCUUGGUUGACUUGUUGCAUGUCACCAGCACCACAGAAAGAAAACAGGAUCCAGCUGGAGCAGGAUCUUCUGUCCAGUUUACUCAACUUCUGACCUGAUCCUUUGCUUGCCACAGACCCUGCCUUUUAUUUCCCUUUCACCACAGCUGGUGGUGCUACCAUCUGCCCCUGGAGCAGUCAGGAAUAAUUGGAUUCCAUGGAAAGUGCUCCCAAGGGGAUUCAUGGCAGUUUGCCUCCAUCACACCACCACAUUCCCCAGCCUCACAUUCACCAUCCUCGCCUGCUUCCCUCCCUCCUGCCUCCAGCCACAACGAGGGAAAAGCUCCUUGCAUUGAGGGGCCUCGCUUGGCUUUAAUAAAGCAGUGGAUCAUAAUUAGAACCCACCACCCACCUCUGGAGAGAAGCUGUUUCCAAAUGAAGUUUAUUAUCCUGACUGAAUGCGAGCAAACACAUCUCAGAGGGGAGCUUUUAAAAAGGCAAUUCCUUGCGAUGCUCAAUACCCUUUUUCUCCCCUCCUGGCUGGCGUUUCAGCCCAGCUAACCAAUUUUGUACCUUUAUUCCCAUGAUGAAGCUGAGAAGGGGGGUGGCCGUGUGUGUUUUUCUAAGCCUGGCCUACACUGGAAGCCACUUGCAAGUUCAGAGUGCUGCUUUGCUCAGUUUCUCGUGUGCAAACAUGCUGUGAAGCAGUUAAUGUCUGUAAAGCCUUUGUGGGCGUCAGCUCCCCGUGGAGAUGAAUGGGGACGUUCGGGCAUCUCAACUACAGUUUCCUGUAGUUCAUCAGCUGCACGGGGUAGUCCUUUUUCUGGAGGCUCUCCCAUCAAUCAUCACAACUGGAGACGUGAUUUUUUUUUAAGUCAGCUCUCAGCUGCUUUGGAGAGAAGAAAGGCUCCGAUGAAAGAGGCACUUUCCUCUGGUGUUUUGGGCACGGGUUAGUUUGAAGCCAAGAACUGGCUUGUCCUUAUCUCCACCUCCAAAGGUGUAGCUCCUGCAGCACCUCCAACAGUCAGCGCUGAAAGCUGUGAAGGUUUCAGGUGGGACACAAAAAACUGCUUCCAAGAGCAAGACCCCCCUCCCUUCCCACAAAGGCAGGAAAACCCCAGCGGUCCCUCCUCCCUGCGGGGUGUUCUCCGGGCUCCCUUACAGUGCCUCCCGCUGCCACUGGCAUCCAAACUACAAACCGCAGCUCGAUUUCUGGGAGGACCUUUACCUCGAGCUGAAGUUCGUGGUUUUCGGGUCUGCAGUUGCUGUGCACACCCGGGGAGGGGGCGGAAGGUUACUCCGCCGGCGGGCGAGGGAUUCUGCCCCACCAGGGCUGCUGCCGGCCAGGAGAGCGGUGUUGUCCCGCCGCAGGGCGGGAUGCUACCCGGCGAGAGGAAAGGGAUGCUGAUCGGCGGGCAGGGAGAGAUGCUUUCCCUCAGGAGGAAGGAGGCGGCGAGCAGGUGCCGGCAGAGCCGGGCCGGGGCGGGGGGCGGGCCGGGGGCUGGCGGCGGCGGGGGGCGGGGGGCUGCCGGCAGCGCCCUCCCCGCCCGCCCGGGGGGCGCGGCUGCGGCGGAGGCGGCGGCGGCAGCGCAGCCGCGCGGAGCGGAGCGGGGCCGGGCCGGGCUGCAGAUGUGCUGCGGGGGAAGCGUGCCCCGGAACCCCCAUUUAAUCACCCUACUCCUGAAAAGCAGAGCACGAAAUGCCGUGUAAAGCCCUGCCCGGAGCCCCCGAGCCCGUCCUGCAGAAGUUGGUCUGUUUGUGGUAACACCUUUUUGCAUCGUUCUGUCCAAAAGGUUCUGAUGAUGUUUCGAGGCAGAGCUUUUUUGCUUUUUUUUUUUUUUUUUUUUUGCUAAGGUUGACACACAUCUUACAACAUCAUGUCUUUGAUGAGCACACACGGUGUUAAUUGAGGUUGCCAUGGGAGGCAUGCACGUAGUAUAAAUAAGCUCCCUUCUUGCCAUGUGAUUUUCGCUUUUGUAUUCCUCAAGCCUCCUUUUUGUAUUCUCUGUUUUUGCAUAUUGUCAUAUGGUGCAUUAAAGAUAAAAAUAUCUGCUGUCUCAGGGUGUAAUUUCCCUAGCUGGAACUAUAAGUGCAUAUGGAGAAGUGGGGAAAGGAUUUAGCAAACCGUAGGAGAAGGAAAUAUGUGUGUGCCUGUGUAAUAAGUAUUCGCCAUAAUUUGGGCAGUUAUAUUAAAAAAGUCCCUUUUUAUCACAAAAAAUUCCAAAAUAGUACUUUCUGUGACGGAACAUCACUGGGUUGACAUCUUGUGGCCUUAUUUUGCCUUUGGAUAUUGAUGCUAAUUAGUGAAAAAAACCUCCUAUAGUGCAUCCAGCCCUGGUCUGCCUCCCAAAAUGAAAUAUUUAGGGAGAAAAAACUUUUUAGUACUUCUUAAAAAUUUCUCUACGGGUCUUAUCACUCAUUUAUUGUGUUCCAGAUAAAAAGAUGAAAGCCUCGGUCAUGCUUUGCAGCAAAUUUCAUGUAACAUACAAGGGGAACUGAAGCAGAAACCAAAGCCAAGGCAAAGCAGCAUCUGACCUUGUCACUGGGGGGCAGAAAACAGCCGCUGGUUCCACUGGUGCUUCAAUCAAGCUCCCUGGGCAAUGUGGAAUUGCAGAGAGCUCACAAAGUGCAAGUUCCUUCCAGGUCCGUAGGGUGAAUAAAAGUUGUUAAUUCUUGGCUUGAUUUGUCA